CUUACCAAUUCAUUCACUUUGACUUUUGUUAAAAAACUUUAAAAAAUGUAUUUAAUGUAAUGAUUUUAUCUCUUUUCCUGUUUAACUUUAUGGCCCUUUCCAUUUAAUUUUAACUUUCUGGUGUUUUUUUUUUCUUUUGUUUUCUAUUUGACUAUGAAGUAAUUUAUUGUCUAAGUUUGACUUGAUUGUAUGCAAUGUUAUU
Long non-coding RNA from Erpetoichthys calabaricus (reedfish), 202 nucleotides. RefSeq lists it as uncharacterized. The transcript is spliced from 2 exons. NCBI's taxonomy places the organism in Eukaryota, Metazoa, Chordata, Cladistia, Polypteriformes, Polypteridae. The record is from RefSeq and is a predicted model, not a curated record.